RNAcentral lists this ribosomal RNA (439 nucleotides) under uncultured bacterium. RNAcentral's name for it is "partial 16S ribosomal RNA". It matches the Rfam family "Bacterial small subunit ribosomal RNA", at positions 338 to 795 of the family's 1533-position model. The record is from RNAcentral.
CCUACGGGUGGCAGCAGUGGGGAAUAUUGCUCAAUGGGCGAAAGCCUGAUGCAGCAACGCCGCGUGAGCGAUGACGGCCUUAGGGUUGUAAAGCUCUGUUCUUAAGGAAGAUAAUGACGGGACUUGAGGAGGAAGCCCCGGCUAACUACGUGCCGGCAGCCGCGGUACGAUGUAGGGGGCUGGCGUUAUCCGGACUUACUGGGCGUAAAGGGUGCGUAGGUGGUUUCUUAAGUCAUCGGUGAAAGGCUACGGCUCAACCGUAGUAAGCCUUUGAAACUGGGAAACUUGAGUUCAGGAGAGGAGAGUGGAAUUCCUAGUGUAGCGGUGAAAUGCGUAGAUAUUAGGAGGAACACCAGUUGCGAAGGCGGCUCACUGGACUGUAACUGACACUGAGGCACGAAGGCGUGGGGAGCAAACAGGAUUAGAUACCCCUGUAGUC